GAUCCUGGCUUAGGAUGAACGCUAGCGACAGGCUUAACACAUGCAAGUCGAGGGGCAGCACGGGAGUAGCAAUACAACUGGUGGCGACCGGCGCACGGGUGAGUAACGCGUAUGCAACCUACCUAUCAGAGGGGAAUAACCCGGCGAAAGUCGGACUAAUACCGCAUAAAACAGGGGCACCGCAUGGUGAUAUUUGUUAAAGAAAUUCGCUGAUAGAUGGGCAUGCGUUCCAUUAGGUAGUUGGUGAGGUAACGGCUCACCAAGCCGACGAUGGAUAGGGGAACUGAGAGGUUGGUCCCCCACACUGGUACUGAGACACGGACCAAACUCCUACGGGAGGCAGCAGUGAGGAAUAUUGGUCAAUGGACGAGAGUCUGAACCAGCCAAGUAAGCGUGAAGGAUGACUGCCCUAUGGGUUGUAAACUUCUUUUAUAAGGGAAUAAAGUGAGGGACGUGUCCCUUUUUGUAUGUACCUUAUGAAUAAGGAUCGGCUAACUCCGUGCCAGCCGCGGC
Molecule: ribosomal RNA, 513 nt
Filed under: uncultured bacterium
Lineage: Bacteria
Description: bacterial SSU rRNA
Rfam family: Bacterial small subunit ribosomal RNA
Source: RNAcentral